UGAUGGACCAACGAGUCAGAGGCAAGAUAACUGAAAGCCUCUGUCCCCACUGUCUUCCGAGAGCUGUGGUUUGACCAGGCAGCCCCCUAUGCCUCUUCCAGACUCAGGCUUCUCUCUGCUUCUGCAGUUUCUCCAGGACUCUUCAUGUUCUCCCUCAUUGACAAAGGGCAGUGGAUUUCUGGAAAUCUAUUUUCAGUAGACUUCAGUAACUCAAUUUUACCUAUCCACACUGUGUGGUAUAGUAUCAUCAUGUAAAAAUCAGAAGCAUCAAAAAUCAGACAAACCUAGACUCACUCCUCAAUUCUUUUACCAGGUGAAUGAAAAAGUGAUUAUUUUAUAAAAGGAAUGCUAGUUAGCAUUCCUGGGAGAAGUGAGUCUCUAUGGCUUGCCCUUUUGAAACUGGUUUCCAAACAAAAUGCAUACUCAUGAAUAUUUAUUGAUCAUAAAAGUUUGGCAGAUUAGAGCAGAAGAAGGGUAGCAUGAGGAGUACCAACUCUUAAACCUGAGGACUCAUGUCUGCACUACACCUUAUACAACAGUGUCUGUGAAAUGGUUAAAGAGUAAAAACCCAAUCUGUUGCAGCCAGAAAGGAGUACUCCACCUAUUACACAGCAAGGCCAAUAGAUUGCUUGUUAUUUUAAGUGUUAUUUAAAUUAUCUCCCUAGGGAAGAUAAUUUUCAGCUGCCUCUCCAUCUUCUUAAAGAAGAGCAGAAUUUAACACAUCUCGUCUUUGUGAAAAACAAAGACACUGAAGCAAUGGUCAGAAAGAAAAGGAAUAAAGACAAAGUCAAGGAAAGAGCCAUACAAGGACAGUUAGCAUAAGAUAGUUGUUCUCAAUGUAGGCUAUCCAGAACAGCACUGUCAACCUCACCGCGGAACUUGAAAGAAGUGCAAAUCCUUGAGACUGACUCCAAGUCUACUGAAUCAGAAAUUCUGGGGGUGAAGUCCAUCAAUCUUUGGUUGAACAAAACACAACCAAUCUCACAUUUAUGGAAGUUUCAUAUAUGAAGUCAUAAAAGUCACUAGAAAGGCAAGAAGAACCAGGGAGCUGACAUGUUCCUAGAUCCAGGAGCCACCCAGUGGAUUGACGAUUCUUAUCAUAAUAAGACUUCCUUGAACCAUCCCCCACCCAACCCUUUUCCAGAAAGAGUUGAAGACAAAUCUACAGUGAAUAGGAGGCUGAGGCCACCACACCACAGCUUCCAGUGCAAGUGUCCUUGUGCCCUGGUGCCUGAUAUCCAGCUCCGGCAGCCUAGAAAAUCAGUUAGGCUUUUCAGUCACAGCACCCUCUGUGACAAACGUGUGGAGCACCGCACGACUUCUUCAACCAGCUGGUUUUUCUGGCAUUCGAAUAAAAGUAAAAAUAGAAAACAAAGAGGGAGAAGAAAAGUGACAAGCUGAAACCUGCGAAGAGAAAGAGGACAAGAACCUGUAUGUACCCAGUGGUGUGGAUAAAUCGUUAUGUAUCUGCCUACGCAUUGUCAGAAAUACAGCAGCCUAAGUAGCCAUUCAAGGAAUUUAGAGUAAAGUACCAUGGUCAGAAUUCAAGAUAUAGCCACUACAGGAUCUGAAAUGCCAUCUGUUCCAACCGCACGACAUCCCCAUUCAGCAGGCUCACAAGGCUGGCAUAGACAGGAAGAGGGACCCCUCUGUUGUCCUCUACUCUCUUCUUCAACUGAGCAAUGAGCAGAAGAUUUAAGUUUGGGAUUUUUUCACUAUUUUUCCCAAACGCAUGAACAGGUUCUUCUCAAACUGCAAGAGUCGAUUCAAAAUCCAGACAGCUUUCACCACCCAAGGAUUCAGGGAAGUGUUUAUUUCUUUGUCUCAGAAUCUCUUUAAACAUGGCACCUACAAUGACAAAUUGUAAAUAGCCACGUCCAAUAAGUUUAUGCGUAACCUUACCUGACUUUUCCAUGGAACUCCAUUAUAUAACUAGAAGCAUUUCUCCACAAGCGGAAAAAAAAUGGAACCAGAAGAGAAACAAAGCACAUUUGAGCAUACAAUAAAUAAUGAUAUGAAAUGAACAAGUUGAUCUGGUCUUGAGGGAGGAGGAGGCACAGGAACACAGUAAAGGAACCUAUCUGAGGAGCUGCAGACAUGAACCAACAAAGUGAUUCCUAGGGCAAGAAUCACUUGCAUGCUGAUAAAAGCCAGGGAGGCUCAGAGAAGCUAGAAACAACUGGAUCAUCAACACAAACUACUGCACUCCACUGGAAUUGAACAAAGACCUUUGCUGAAAUGCCCUAGCCAGCAAGAAAUGGUAACAUUCAGAUGAGAGAUGACCUUCAAGCAAGUACUGGUUAGAGGUAAAGAAACUGAAGCACAAACAAGUUGGGUAAGCUGCACAAGUUUACAAAGAUAUUUAGAAAUUGCAUCAAGAAUGUCCUGGCAUUCAGACUAAUGCAUAGAAGAGCCUAGAUCAAGGAUGGUUAGCUACAACUGAAAAUAUGAGAAGAAGAAGGAAUGAUUGCAUUAUUUUCCAAAUAUUCCAUUUAAGCUGAAGCUCUGCAUACAAAGCAAAAUGGAGAAUUGGAGCAGAAGAGAGUACUUUAAACUAAGUUUUCUUCAAAAUAGUCUCAAAAUUGUGGUCAAAAUGUUUUUUUUUAAUUAUUGUACUUCAAGUUCUGGGAUACCUAUGCAG
This 2641-nucleotide long non-coding RNA is filed under the name Homo sapiens (human). Its description in RNAcentral is "HSALNT0313212". Lineage: Eukaryota; Metazoa; Chordata; Mammalia; Primates; Hominidae. The record is from RNAcentral.